AUAUUGCGCAAUGGGGGAAACCCUGACGCAGCAACGCCGCGUGAGUGAGGAAGGUCUUCGGAUUGUAAAACUCUUUUGUUAGGGAAAAAUGGUCAGGGAGCUAAUACCCCCUGAUUUGAUGGUACCUAAGGAAUAAGGACCGGCUAACUUCGUGCCAGCAGCCGCGGUAAUACGAAGGGUGCAAGCGUUAUUCGGAAUCAUUGGGCGUAAAGCGCGCGCAGGCGGAUUUGUAAGUCAGGUGUGAAAUCUCGGAGCUCAACUCCGAAACUGCGCCUGAAACUACAAGUCUAGAAUGUCGGAGGGGGCAGGGGAAUUUCACGUGUAGGGGUAAAAUCCGUAGAGAUGUGAAGGAACACCGGAGGCGAAGGCGCCUGCCUGGACGACUAUUGACGCUGAGGCGCGAAAGCGUGGGGAGCAAACAGG
Molecule: ribosomal RNA, 423 nt
Filed under: uncultured bacterium
Lineage: Bacteria
Description: bacterial SSU rRNA
Rfam family: Bacterial small subunit ribosomal RNA
Source: RNAcentral